UGCUGUACGAGCGAGGGAUGCGACGUAUAAUUGUGCUCUAAUGAAACAUAAACAGCGCAGUCUGAGGGAGUGCGUCUGGGCAGGGCCCCUGCUGGCCUAAAGGCUCUGCUCUCCUAGGCUCUUAAUUAUGAGUGAGCAGCCAAACAGUCUGACCGCAAAAACCAGACUAACUAACCUCACUGUCUGGGUGGCUGCUCUGAGUUACGUCGUCAGAGUCCCAAUCAGCCAACACUUUUAUUGUUAUAGUGGUGAGAGAAGAGGCAGAAACAUCACAGAAGACAGAACACAAAUUCUGGAACUUCAGAAACCGUCGCCAGCGCCGUGCUAAAAAUCUCACUGAAUCCAAGAGAAAACAGGUGAAAGUGAAGGAGCUAACCAGAAUGUCCUGACUCUUGACCUCUCACCUCCAACUUGACUCAUCAGUUGAUCUGCUCUGGGUGGCCAAAUGUGUUGACCUGACCUCAAGCCUAACAGUGACCCGGGGUCACUGCCAGUUGGUUUCUGCCUGCAACAGUACACACACAGCCUGGGAAAGGCACAAGAUGUGACCCGUUAAUCAUGUAAAGUACCUGUUAAAAAUAAAAUCCAGUA
This is a non-coding RNA of Poecilia reticulata (guppy), 591 nucleotides long. The record is from RefSeq and is a predicted model, not a curated record. NCBI's taxonomy places the organism in Eukaryota, Metazoa, Chordata, Actinopteri, Cyprinodontiformes, Poeciliidae.